RNAcentral lists this ribosomal RNA (403 nucleotides) under bacterium. RNAcentral's name for it is "partial 16S ribosomal RNA". It matches the Rfam family "Bacterial small subunit ribosomal RNA", at positions 355 to 776 of the family's 1533-position model. RNAcentral also lists the same sequence under 1 other name. The record is from RNAcentral.
UGGGGAAUAUUGCACAAUGGGGGAAACCCUGAUGCAGCGACGCCGCGUGAACGAAGAAGGUAUUCGUAUCGUAAAGUUCUGUCCUAUGGGAAGAUAAUGACAGUACCAUAGAAGAAAGCUCCGGCUAAAUACGUGCCAGCAGCCGCGGUAAUACGUAUGGAGCGAGCGUUGUCCGGAAUUAUUGGGCGUAAAGGGCACGCAGGCGGUUUAAUAAGUCGAAUGUUAAAGAUCGGGGCUCAACCCCGUAAAGCAUUGGAAACUGAUAAACUUGAGUAGUGGAGAGGAAAGUGGAAUUCCUAGUGUAGUGGUGAAAUACGUAGAUAUUAGGAGGAAUACCAGUAGCGAAGGCGACUUUCUGGACACAAACUGACGCUGAGGUACGAAAGCGUGGGGAGCAAACAGG